This 332-nucleotide unclassified non-coding RNA is filed under the name soil metagenome. Its description in RNAcentral is "partial contains 5.8S ribosomal RNA, internal transcribed spacer 2, and large subunit ribosomal RNA". The stretch from base 1 to 120 matches the Rfam family "5.8S ribosomal RNA", at positions 35 to 154 of the family's 154-position model. The record is from RNAcentral.
GAUGAAGAACGUAGCGAAAUGCGAUAAGUAGUGUGAAUUGCAGAAUUCAGUGAAUCAUCGAAUCUUUGAACGCACAUUGCGCCCUUUGGUAUUCCUUAGGGCAUGUCUGUUCGAGCGUCAUUUAAACCUUCAAGCUAAGCUUGGUGUUGGGUGACUGUCCGCUUCACUGCGGACUCGCCUCAAAAUUAUUGGCGGCCGGUACAUUGGCUUCGAGCGCAGCAGAAACGCGAACUCGGGCCCGUCGUAUUGGCUCCCAGAAGCUAUCUUCACAAUUUUGACCUCGGAUCAGGUAGGGAUACCCGCUGAACUUAAGCAUAUCAAUAAGCGGAGGA